RNAcentral lists this long non-coding RNA (879 nucleotides) under Olea europaea subsp. europaea. The record is from RNAcentral. Lineage: Eukaryota; Viridiplantae; Streptophyta; Magnoliopsida; Lamiales; Oleaceae.
UGUCACUUUAUUACAACAAAUUAUACUAUUGAAGAAGACACAACCCAAUAGUGAAUUAUGAUGAGGACGGAAGAAGUAUACAAGUUGCUUCUUUUGCUAUUUAAAUUCUAUUUCUAGAGACUCAUUAAAUUUUUCGAUGGUGUAUUUUCAUUUAUUUGAAGUUAGGUCAUGAUAUGCCCCCUCAUAAGCUUUUAUUUUCUUUUUCUUUUUCUUUUUAAUUUUCAGUAUAAAUAAAUACUACACUUGCAUGUUUCUUUGACCAAAAAAAUAAAAAAGAAGUAAAUCAGCUUUGUAAAAUUAUCCACGGUACAAAUGCAGUUUGUCCCGCAUUUCUCCUCUUGUUAAGAGGUGGGGGGUUACGCUGAUCAACUCUGGGAAACAAAUCUGUCCUACUUCCUCCAUCGAUUGUAGGGGUGGGCGUGGGUUGGGUUGGGUCGGUUUUCGCCCCAACCCUAACCCAACCCAACAUGAUCGGUUUGGUCAAAAUUUAACCCAACCCAACCCGUGUAAAGUUUGAAACCCAACCCAACCCAACCCAAUCAAGUAUCGGUCGGGUUGGGUUGGGUUGGUCGGUUUAUGACAACUUGUUAAUAAAUAUUAAAGUUAUUCAUUUUUGGGUGUAAAGCAUCACUAAUAUAGUCCCAGAGCCUCAAAAUUUACAAAACUAAUUACGUAAGCAUAGAUAAAAUUCAACUGAGACACUAAAGAACAGAAAUCACAACCAAUUUAGAAGUUGGUUUCUCACAAAAUUCUCUAAUAGUGGAAUGGGAUUGGAACUUACAAGGUAAAAAAAUUUCACCAAUACAACAUGCUCCAAAUCAUUAAAGGGCUUCUUUUGGAUUUGGGAGUGACCGAGUGAGAGGGGGAGGGAGGGGGAGG